This 132-nucleotide small RNA is filed under the name Escherichia coli. RNAcentral describes it as "RtT sRNA". It matches the Rfam family "RtT RNA". From Rfam's summary of the family: This family represents a bacterial cis-regulatory element known as RtT RNA. The exact function of RtT is unknown although it is thought that it may be involved in changing the cellular response in relation to amino acid starvation. The record is from RNAcentral. Lineage: Bacteria; Pseudomonadati; Pseudomonadota; Gammaproteobacteria; Enterobacterales; Enterobacteriaceae.
AUUCUGCCCAUGCGGGGAAGGACGAGAAGCUUCGACCAAGGUUCGACUCGAGCGUCAGCGAGAGAGCGUUGCCGCAGGCAACGACCCGAAGGGCGAAGCGCGCAGCGCUGAGUAAUCCUUCCCCCACCACCA